ACGCUGGCGGCAGGCCUAACACAUGCAAGUCGAGCGGCAGCACGGGUACUUGUACCUGGUGGCGAGCGGCGGACGGGUGAGUAAUGCCUAGGAAUCUGCCUGGUAGUGGGGGAUAACGCUCGGAAACGGACGCUAAUACCGCAUACGUCCUACGGGAGAAAGCAGGGGACCUUCGGGCCUUGCGCUAUCAGAUGAGCCUAGGUCGGAUUAGCUAGUUGGUGGGGUAAUGGCUCACCAAGGCGACGAUCCGUAACUGGUCUGAGAGGAUGAUCAGUCACACUGGAACUGAGACACGGUCCAGACUCCUACGGGAGGCAGCAGUGGGGAAUAUUGGACAAUGGGCGAAAGCCUGAUCCAGCCAUGCCGCGUGUGUGAAGAAGGUCUUCGGAUUGUAAAGCACUUUAAGUUGGGAGGAAGGGCAGUUACCUAAUACGUAUCUGUUUUGACGUUACCGACAGAAUAAGCACCGGCUAACUCUGUGCCAGCAGCCGCGGUAAUACAGAGGGUGCAAGCGUUAAUCGGAAUUACUGGGCGUAAAGCGCGCGUAGGUGGUUUGUUAAGUUGAAUGUGAAAUCCCCGGGCUCAACCUGGGAACUGCAUGCAAAACUGGCAAGCUAGAGUAUGGUAGAGGGUGGUGGAAUUUCCAGUGUAGCGGUGAAAUGCGUAGAUAUAGGAAGGAACACCAGUGGCGAAGGCGACCACCUGGACUGAUACUGACACUGAGGUGCGAAAGCGUGGGGAGCAAAC
Molecule: ribosomal RNA, 747 nt
Filed under: uncultured bacterium
Lineage: Bacteria
Description: bacterial SSU rRNA
Rfam family: Bacterial small subunit ribosomal RNA
Source: RNAcentral